Molecule: ribosomal RNA, 253 nt
Filed under: uncultured bacterium
Lineage: Bacteria
Description: partial 16S ribosomal RNA
Rfam family: Bacterial small subunit ribosomal RNA
Source: RNAcentral
UACAGAGGUCCCAAGCGUUGUUCGGAUUCAUUGGGCGUAAAGGGUGCGUAGGUGGCACUGUAAGUCGGGUGUGAAAUCCUGAGGCUUAACCUCGGAACUGCAUUCGAUACUGCGGUGCUUGAGGACUGGAGAGGAGACUGGAAUUCAUGGUGUAGCAGUGAAAUGCGUAGAGAUCAUGAGGAAGACCAGUGGCGAAGGCGGGUCUCUGGACAGUUCCUGACACUGAGGCACGAAGGCCAGGGGAGCAAACGGG